AUCAAGGACUAAAUUAGCCAUCAGACAAGCAGGACUUGUUGAGAAAGAGAGUGGAAAACUACUCAAUCUGCAAGGUUCAAGACAUGGUUGUGAUCUUUGAUGUCAUGGUACCUUAACUUCAACAACAAACUUGAUAAUAGAACAAAUUACCUCUGGUGGUAUGUCAAGAUAUAAUACCAAAUCUGGAGCAAGCAACCCCAUCUCUGGUGCCUGUGUAACAACUCAUUUUUCACUACCAAAAGGGAAGAAAUGGCACCCAGAAAAAAUAAAUAAAUAAA
Non-coding RNA from Camellia sinensis, 278 nucleotides. Lineage: Eukaryota; Viridiplantae; Streptophyta; Magnoliopsida; Ericales; Theaceae. The record is from RefSeq and is a predicted model, not a curated record.